RNAcentral lists this ribosomal RNA (492 nucleotides) under uncultured bacterium. Its description in RNAcentral is "partial 16S ribosomal RNA". It matches the Rfam family "Bacterial small subunit ribosomal RNA", at positions 29 to 507 of the family's 1533-position model. The record is from RNAcentral.
AGUGAACGCUGGCGGUAGGCCUAACACAUGCAAGUCGAACGGCAGCACAGUAAGAGCUUGCUCUUACGGGUGGCGAGUGGCGGACGGGUGAGGAAUACAUCGGAAUCUACUUUUUCGUGGGGGAUAACGUAGGGAAACUUACGCUAAUACCGCAUACGACCUACGGGUGAAAGCAGGGGAUAUUCGGACCUUGCGCGAUUGAAUGAGACGAUGUCGGAUUAGCUAGUUGGCGGGGUAAAGGCCCACCAAGGCGACGAUCCGUAGCUGGUCUGAGAGGAUGAUCAGCCACACUGGAACUGAGACACGGUCCAGACUCCUACGGGAGGCAGCAGUGGGGAAUAUUGGACAAUGGGCGCAAGCCUGAUCCAGCCAUACCGCGUGGGUGAAGAAGGCCUUCGGGUUGUAAAGCCCUUUUGUUGGGAAAGAAAAGCAGCAGGUUAAUACCCCGCUGUUCUGACGGUACCCAAAGAAUAAGCACCGGCUAACUUCGUG